Molecule: ribosomal RNA, 282 nt
Filed under: Dialister succinatiphilus YIT 11850
Lineage: Bacteria; Bacillati; Bacillota; Negativicutes; Veillonellales; Veillonellaceae
Description: partial 16S ribosomal RNA
Rfam family: Bacterial small subunit ribosomal RNA
Source: RNAcentral
UCUUUUCUUUUUUUCGAGCAGCCGCGGUAAUACGUAGGUGGCAAGCGUUGUCCGGAAUUAUUGGGCGUAAAGCGCGCGCAGGCGGCUUUCUAAGUCCAUCUUAAAAGUGCGGGGCUUAACCCCGUGAUGGGAUGGAAACUGGAAAGCUGGAGUAUCGGAGAGGAAAGUGGAAUUCCUAGUGUAGCGGUGAAAUGCGUAGAGAUUAGGAAGAACACCGGUGGCGAAGGCGACUUUCUGGACGACAACUGACGCUGAGGCGCGAAAGCGUGGGGAGCAAACAGG